UGAGCUCAGGCAAGGCUACCCGC
This 23-nucleotide ribosomal RNA is filed under the name Desmodesmus tropicus. Its description in RNAcentral is "partial 26S ribosomal RNA". Lineage: Eukaryota; Viridiplantae; Chlorophyta; Chlorophyceae; Sphaeropleales; Scenedesmaceae. The record is from RNAcentral.